ACUCCUACGGGAGGCAGCAGUGGGGAAUAUUGCACAAUGGGCGCAAGCCUGAUGCAGCAACGCCGCGUGAGUGAUGAAGGCCUUCGGGUCGUAAAGCUCUGUCCUCAAGGAAGAAUAAAUGACGGUACUUGAGGAGGAAGCCCGGCUAACUACGUGCCAGCAGCCGCGGUAAUACGUAGGGGGCAAGCGUUAUCCGGAAUCACUGGGGCGUAAAGGGGUGCGUAGGCGGUUUUCAAGUCAGAAGUGAAAGGCUAUGGCUCAACCAUAGUAAGCUUUUGAAACUGUUAAACUUGAGUGCAGGAGAGGAAAGUGGAAUUCCUAGUGUAGAGGUGAAAUUCGUAGAUAUUAGGAGGAACACCAGUGGCGAAGGCGACUUUCUGGACUGUAACUGACGCUGAGGCACGAAAGCGUGGGGAGCGAACAGGAUUAGAUACCCUGGUAACACAGG
Molecule: ribosomal RNA, 448 nt
Filed under: uncultured bacterium
Lineage: Bacteria
Description: bacterial SSU rRNA
Rfam family: Bacterial small subunit ribosomal RNA
Source: RNAcentral